GUCCCUUUGGGAACAUCCGAUAACAUUGGAACGAUACAGAGAAGAUUAGCAUGGCCCCUCGCAAGGAUGACACCCACAAAUCGAGAAAAAAUAAAUUGAUUU
RNAcentral lists this small nuclear RNA (102 nucleotides) under Marchantia polymorpha subsp. ruderalis. The record is from RNAcentral. Lineage: Eukaryota; Viridiplantae; Streptophyta; Marchantiopsida; Marchantiales; Marchantiaceae.